ACAUAAUCUGACCCAUUACACGUUUAUUAAUGCCUGUGUGGUGUUAUUUUUGUAAAAAAGUAUUAUUUCACAUUGUUAUUAAUAAAAUAAAAAGGUUCUAUCUCAAAAAACAUAAACCGAGUUGGGAUUAUAAGGUUCUAUCUCCAGUAGAUUCAAUAUCCAAUGAAAACCCUGGCUGAACACGGACGGACCAAUCAAAACCCACAUCCUGGCUCUCUUGCUGGGACACAGAGCUAAGGCGCCAAGGCUAAGCUGAGGACAUUUGAAGCCGGCAAUGUCCCCCACAAGAUAUAAACGCACAUUCACCAGUACUAGAAUAGAUCGAAAUGAUGAAAAUGAUUCUCCAAAAGCAAAGAGGACAGCAGAUAGUGGAGAGGCAGAGACCCCCAGAGCAGAAGCAAAAAGGACAGUAGGCGAGACACCCAGGGCCAGACCAGACGAGACCCCCAGGGCCAGACCAGGCGAGACACCCAGGGCCAGACCAGCUGAGACAUUCAGGGCCAUUGCAGCAGACACACCCAGGGCCAGACCAGCUGAGGCACUCAGGGCCAGACCAGCUGAGACACCCAGGGCCAGUCCAGCCGAGACACCCAGGGCCAGACCAUCUGAGACACCCAGGGCCAUUGCAGAAGACACACCAUUUGCUUCAGUGGCCCAAAUUACAUUCACUCAAAAUCUGUUCAGUGUACAGUACAGUACCUCUCAUGCUCAGCUUCCCAUACAGGUAGAUAUUAGGGGCUCUAACACCAAAACCAGGUCUAACAUGCCAACAGCGCUCUUGCUGCCCAAGCCAAAGUAUCUAACCAACAAAAACACCAUUGCAGAGGCAAAGAAGACUGACCUUUUAUCUAUGUUCAAGUACAUGCCUGCUGUUGACAAAGCCUACUACAGCGCAGUAUUUAGAAAGUGAAAUCUGAAGUACAACAUACAUACAAAAACAGACAUACAGAAUAAUAAAUAGUAAAACUGUCUCAUAGUUUAACCCUAGCGUAUAAAAUAAAUGAACAAUGUGUUUUUAAAAAGUGUUUCGUGAUGUUUAGUAACAGUGUGUGUGUGUGUGUGUGUGUGUGUGUGUGUGUGUGUGUGUGUGUGUGUGUGUGUGUGUGUGUUGGUAUGGAUAGAGAGUGAUAUCUGAAGUUCAUCUAUACAUGAAGUAAAUCAUACAUAACAAAACAAACAUACAGAAUAAUAAAAAAUAAAAGUGUCUCAUAGUUUAACACUAUCUUAAAUAAACAAUGUGUUUUUAAAAAGUGUUUAAUGAUGUUUAGUAACUGUGAGGGGGGGUAUACGGCUGGAGAGAAGGGGA
This is a long non-coding RNA of Engraulis encrasicolus (European anchovy), 1306 nucleotides long. RefSeq lists it as uncharacterized. NCBI's taxonomy places the organism in Eukaryota, Metazoa, Chordata, Actinopteri, Clupeiformes, Engraulidae. The record is from RefSeq and is a predicted model, not a curated record. The transcript is spliced from 3 exons.